UUUAAUUGCAUGUGACCAAGUGUUAACCCAAGGGACUAAUUUGAUGCUUAUAAAAUUAUUGAGUAGGUUACUUAUACUUGGGUGUUUUGGAGUAGUUUAAUUUAUUUUUCAGGAAAGCUUUAGAAGUUUCAACACUUAGAGAAGUAUGGAGAAGGAUCGAAUUCUUAAAGAUAGAAAGAAGUUUGAAGUCGUUCGGAGGCUUCUACAGUAUAAGAGUCAACUUUAGUUUGCCAGAAGCCGAUCUCUGGAUGCCCACAGGUCAAAACAGAGGGUUAAAAGAAUUUUAGGCAUCAAGAGUCGUUUCUAGAUGAUUAGGAGUCGACUUAUAGAUGGACUCUGAAACUUAGGAGCAGAUUGGCAUCUGGAAGGUGAUUAGCAUAGGUGAGGAGUUGACCCAGGAUCGAGCCCCAGGAACUAACCUUAGGGUCGACCCCUAAUGUGCCAUAGGGAAAAGAGAGAGAAGGGUUUUUUUUGGUUCCUUUAGGAGUCGACUCUAGGAUCAAUCCCUCUAUUUUGUCAUGCCUAUUGAUGCGGAAGGAAGCGUGAACUGGUUUUGUUGUUGCAGGACCAGAAACAGAACCUAAAACAGAGAUGUUGCUGUUGCUAAAUCUUUCCGCAAUAAACCAGAAUCAAAGCUUCAAAAUAGGGGAUUCAAUGUUGCUCAAGAUCUCAAGCCAAGACUUUGUUUGCUAAUCCCAAAACAAAGCAUGAAACAGGUUCUGAAAUUCAGAAAACCAAAACAGAGUUUUUUGGUUCUUUCUUUCAUUCUAUAACGGCUGAAAAAUAACAUCAAGAAGAAGGACUCAAGACCUUUAGCAACGCCUUAUAUAGGCU
Molecule: long non-coding RNA, 834 nt
Filed under: Phoenix dactylifera (date palm)
Lineage: Eukaryota; Viridiplantae; Streptophyta; Magnoliopsida; Arecales; Arecaceae
Description: long non-coding RNA (PDAC_LNC007634)
Source: RNAcentral